RNAcentral lists this small nuclear RNA (22 nucleotides) under Arabidopsis thaliana (thale cress). RNAcentral's name for it is "snRNA_00972". Lineage: Eukaryota; Viridiplantae; Streptophyta; Magnoliopsida; Brassicales; Brassicaceae. The record is from RNAcentral.
CGUUUCUAACAACAAUCAGCAC